GUGAGGGGCUGGGCCUGCAGCGGGCUUUAGGGAGUGGUCCCUGGCUGUGGGUAGAUCUGCUGCUGAGUCCAGCCCCUGGUCCAUUCUCCUCGCGCUGCAAGGAUGCUCCUGGGAUUUCGGAGAGGCCGCAGGAGCCAUUUCAAACACAUCAUCCAUGGCCUUUUACCUGCAGCCAGCGUUGCUCCGAAGGCAGCUGUGCCACGCACACCUCCUCCCCGCAGCCCCAACCCGUCUCCAGAGAGACCAAGGUGAGUAUCAGAUGAGCAGGCACUGAGGUCACCCCUGUGCUCAGCCUCCAAGUACUGGAUCCUGGAACUGCUCAAACUGCCCAGAAAAGUAUAAGUAGGGUGGUUAGAAUCAUGUCCUUCAAAAUGUUUACCACGAUUCCAUAAUGAUGCAAUUAAUAUGGUGUCUCUGAGGAUAAUGGACUGACUUGAGGUCUCUCCUUUUCAGGUGCAUGAACUUCUCACAUUUCAUGAUUGAAUGCAAUGAGUAUUUUAAAAAAAUGUAAAGCAUUAAAGCCCAAGUAUUCAGGUUAACAGGGAAUUUUGAAUUAUACACAUAAUUUUCUUUCUUUUUUUUUUCCUUGGAGACGG
RNAcentral lists this small RNA (596 nucleotides) under Pan troglodytes (chimpanzee). RNAcentral describes it as "retained intron". Lineage: Eukaryota; Metazoa; Chordata; Mammalia; Primates; Hominidae. The record is from RNAcentral.